GAUGAACGCUGGCGGCGUGCCUAAUACAUGCAAGUCGAGCGAACAGACGAGGAGCUUGCUCCUCUGACGUUAGCGGCGGACGGGUGAGUAACACGUGGAUAACCUACCUAUAAGACUGGGAUAACUUCGGGAAACCGGAGCUAAUACCGGAUAAUAUAUUGAACCGCAUGGUUCAAUAGUGAAAGACGGUUUUGCUGUCACUUAUAGAUGGAUCCGCGCCGCAUUAGCUAGUUGGUAAGGUAACGGCUUACCAAGGCAACGAUGCGUAGCCGACCUGAGAGGGGGAGCCGGCCCACUGGGAAAUGGACACGGUCCCAGCCCCCAAGGGGGGGCAGAGUAGGGAAACUUUCCGAAGGGGGGGAAACCUUAAGGGGCAAACGCGGGGGAGGUAAGAAGGGUUUUGGAAUUGAAAACCCUUGUUUUUGGGAAAAAAAAAAUUGGAAGGAACCUUGCACCUUCUUGCCGGUCCUAAACAAAAAAGCACCGGCAACCUACUG
RNAcentral lists this ribosomal RNA (497 nucleotides) under uncultured bacterium. RNAcentral's name for it is "partial 16S ribosomal RNA". It matches the Rfam family "Bacterial small subunit ribosomal RNA", at positions 28 to 506 of the family's 1533-position model. The record is from RNAcentral.